CAGCCAACCCCCUCCAGCCAACAUGUCUCUACUCCCAACCCCUCCAGCCAACAUGUCUCUACUCCCAACCCCCCAACCUCCUCCAGCCAACCCCCUCCAGCCAACAUGUCUCUACUCCCAACCCCCCCAACACCCUCCAGCCAACAUGUCUCCACAGCUAAGGAAGAAUUCUUCACUUCUCUCAUUGACUUCUCAAACUCCAAACCACGGCCUGGUCCGCUUGUUCUGUUUCACAAGCGUUCCGGGAAGUCUCUGAUGUUGCACAUCUGGGUUCAGAAACUCUGUGAUUUUAUGUUACUGCUUUUACUCCAAAGUAUAUUUACGGUACUUCGAUACGAUUGAGUUUUUCAGUCCAUAUUUAUAUUUCUUUACUUUGUAUGUUUAAAAAAAAAAAUCUGUUUUGUAUUUAUUACAUUUUUUUUUUUUACUCCAAAGUAUUGUUUGUGUAUUACCUUGCCCACGGUGUCGGGUAAUACUGAACGUUUAGACAUCGUGGGCGACAGGUAGCCUCGUGGUUCGAUCGUUGGGCCACUUGUUGAAUAUAUUCAGUCGUUCUCCAAAUCCUGAAGCUACUUUACCUUGAUUUUGGAUUUACAUUUGGGCUUUUGUUUGUUGCACCAAAACUCCCUGUACUGUGUACUUUAUAACUGAGCUUCAUGUCCAGCUUUUCAUAACGCUCUCAUUGCCACAAAUUAUAUAAGAUACUUUAAAAAAAAUAUACAAAAAUUUAGAAUGACUUUAAACUUUUAUUUAUACUCAUUAAUUUCCCAAUACUUCCAAACAUGUUGUUGAACUGUAUUGUAAAAUAUGAUAUUAUAUAUAUAUAUUAUAUAUAUAUAUGAUAUAUAUUGUGUGUGUUACAUGUAAAAGGGCAUAAGAGUAGAGGUACUCAAUCAUUCAAAGACACCUACUGUGUGAAGAUCAGGAAUAUGCAACAUUCGGGUGUUUUUAUCAACUGUCUUAGUUUUAAAAAAUUUAAAAAAUUUAAAAAAUCUUUCCUUGAAAUCUACAGGAACUUGAUAGACCAUUUUCUUAAAUAAUGAAACAUACAAACAUGUUACAGAGUUUUAAAAAAAAUGUAAAAAUCUUUCCUUGAAAUCUACAGGAACUUGAUAGACCAUUUUUUAAAAUAAUGAAACAUACAAACAUGUUACAGAGUUUUAAAAAAUGUAAAAAAUGUAAAAAUCUUUCCUUGAAAUCUACAGGAACUUGAUAGACCAUUUUCUUAAAUAAUGAAACAUACAAACAUGUUACAGACAUUAUGUGAGUGUCAUUAACAUGUACAAAAGGGUUAUUUAAAUUUUGAUGGGAGACGUGUCAACAAUGUGAACAGCGCUGUGUAGGGAGUAGGGUGCCGUUUCACCCUCGGUCUCUGUGUAGGGAGUAGGGUGCCGUUUCACCCUAGGUCUCUGUGUAGGGAAUAGGGUGCCGUUUCACCCUAGGUCUCUGUGUAGGGAGUAGGGUGCCGUUUCACCCUCGGUCUCUGUGUAGGGAGUAGGGUGCCGUUUCACCCUCGGUCUCUGUGUAGGGAGUAGGGUGCCGUUUCACCCUCGGUCUCUGUGUAGGGAGUAGGGUGCCGUUUCACCCUCGGUCUCUGUGUAGGGAGUAGGGUGCCGUUUCACCCUCGGUCUCUGUGUAGGGAGUAGGGUGCCGUUUCACCCUAGGUCUCUGUGUAGGGAGUAGGGUGCCGUUUCACCCUAGGUCUCUGUGUAGGGAAUAGGGUGCCGUUUCACCCUAGGUCUCUGUGUAGGGAAUAGGGUGCCGUUUCACCCUAGGUCUCUGUGUAGGGAGCCGUUUCACCCUAGGUCUCUGUUGAGAAAAACGUAAUUUGAAUCAUCAGUACGGUAAGGGGAUCUUGUUAUAGUGAAACAGACGGAAACGGCCUGGACAAAAAACAAACAAAAACAAAAAACAUUUGCAAAAACAUGCAAAUGAAUCUUUUUGAAAUAAAUGAUAGUCUGGCUAAGGCAAACAUUCUAUGUCAUAAUGUGGCACAAUUAUUUCCUCUUUUUCAUGAAUUCUAAAACUUUGUAUGUUUUAUUGUCAACAGGAAUGAGUAUUACUGUAAUUAUUAUUAUUAUAAUUAUUGUCAUGGCUAUUACUAAUAUUAGUGGCAGGCCACUGGGUAACAUUGUAUGUUGAUAUCCAAAUGAAAUCUGUGCAAGAUAAUGAUGAAAUGUUUAUGAGUUUUAAAAGCAAAUAAAAAGAUAGACUUCCA
This is a long non-coding RNA of Oncorhynchus masou masou (cherry salmon), 2218 nucleotides long. RefSeq lists it as uncharacterized. NCBI's taxonomy places the organism in Eukaryota, Metazoa, Chordata, Actinopteri, Salmoniformes, Salmonidae. The transcript has 2 exons. The record is from RefSeq and is a predicted model, not a curated record.